GCCCCUUACUGAGCACUGGGUACGAGCAGAGGUGUGUGAAGGGUAGGAAAGAGAAUGGGUGUGAGAGGCAUUUCCUAUCUGUAUUUUUUUUCUGUGUCAUGGUAACACACCUCCCACCCCUGUAGCAUUUAAUAAGAUUGCUUUAAGUUUCCUCCUAGUGCACAAGGGGAGGGGAAAAGUCCCUGGCUAAACCCAGAAUGCCAUUUUGUGGCAAUUUAUGAACAAACAAGCUUCCCAUCAAACCAAUCCUUAGAAAUGUCACUCCAGCCUGGCACUGAGCAGAGAUUAAACGAUGGAUUGUCAACCUUCCUUUUUUAUUUGAUGUUUUGAAUUUCACUGUUCCUCUCUUUCAUUAAAAAUGAACUAGAGGGGAAAAAAAAAAAAAAAAAAAAAAAAGCAGAAUAAAAUAGAAGCCUUUUACAUCUAAAAGUCAAGAUAAUUAUCUCUUAUACCCAACCCACUCCUCCAAGACUCUGAAUGAAGCCAUCAUUAAAAUCUGUGUCCAUCUGGUGACUUUUCCACAGCUAAUUAGGUGAAGAAGCCGGUGCUAAGAGAAGAUGAGAAGAGACACCGUGGGAGACGGCCACUUUGGCAAGCUGCUCACCAAGGCCAUUUCAUGGCAUUGGGGCUGGGAAAAAAAAGUAGAAAGCGGAUGCAAAAGACAGCAGGCACUCAGCCAGCCUACUAAAGACUCUCCACCAGAUACCCAUCUGCUGCGUUUGUUAGAGCUUGUCACCCUAACACCUAGGGGCUGAAAGGUACCGAUUCCUCCUGCGUCCAGAUGGAUGGUUCGUGGGACAUCCCCUGCUCCUCCCGGCAUGGCACCAGCUCUACAGUUGACACUUAGAGGGCUGCCAAUUUCAGGAUAGCCACAAACUUACAGGGAGACAACAGGUCCUGUGGGAACCAUCCAAAGCUGAACGUUGUCCUGUUAUGAUGUGAGCAGAGCAAUGUGCAGGGUACACGGAUUGCACUCCAGGUACAGUACUCCAGGCAGCAUAAAUCUCUGAGUGCUGAUCCCUUCUUUAGGAUCACGGGGGGAAAAUUCAGCCGCCCUUACAUCUGAAAGAGAUUGGAUCUCAUAUCAAGGACAAUGGGCAAGUAUCUGAGUCUGGCGACUGAGGACGUAAGUCCCUUAAUGAUAGGGCAUCGAGGACCCAGGAGUUCUGGUCAUUUAUACACACAUGCCACACUGCCUAGGGUCAAGGACAACUGGUUGAUGGAUGCCAGCCUUUCAGAGCUCUCUGUCCAGCCUGUAGCUCACUCAUUCAACAUAGUUUUCCCUUGUAGAUACAGCUGGCAGAAGCAUUAUACCCUUUUUCACAAAAAUCCUAGGGCUCACAGCCCCAUAGCUCAUAGCCUCAUAACCCACAGUAGGAUACACUGCACUCCGGUUUUGUGACUGGGCAUGCAAGUAAUUCCUGGUGAUGACAUCUCCUGCGUGUUUGUAACCUCCUUCCACAACUGCAUGCACAUUCAUCACAGGAAUGCGAAAGGCCCUAGUGAUUUUUGAAGGCUUUUCUACUAUGCCACUUGGUCCCUGCUGGCUUAACCGUCGAGCCCCACUGCUUUGCUGCUCAACCAUCUCUAUUGAGCUGUGCUGUUUGAGAAUAUAAGCCCCUGAAAGUAAUAACACUGCCUUCCUUACUCCCUCUCCCUGGAAAAUGUCUGCCUCGGAUGGCACAAUUGCCUUAAUAUAGUUAUAAUUCUAGAAGGAUUGUAACGAGUGAGUAAUACGAUAACUUCCCAAUCUUCUCAAACAGAUUUAACAGAGGCCACAAAGACUCUGACAAAAGGAAAGCAGGACACGGUGACCCAAAAGGUCUUGGCUGUCUUUAAUUUCUCUGAUUGAAUUCAUGAGAGGAGAAAAUUACUGGAAAGAUUUUCAUUUUCAUUUACUUCCAAAGUCUGGGUCCAAAUGUUAAGAGAGCCCAGAAGGGUUAAUGUUCACCAGAGUUCAUCUUCAGCCAAAGACUC
Molecule: long non-coding RNA, 1977 nt
Organism: Oxyura jamaicensis (ruddy duck)
Lineage: Eukaryota; Metazoa; Chordata; Aves; Anseriformes; Anatidae
Exons: 3
Source: RefSeq, a predicted model, not a curated record